This 425-nucleotide ribosomal RNA is filed under the name uncultured bacterium. Its description in RNAcentral is "partial 16S ribosomal RNA". It matches the Rfam family "Bacterial small subunit ribosomal RNA", at positions 359 to 776 of the family's 1533-position model. The record is from RNAcentral.
GAAUAUUUGACAAUGGGCGAAAGCCCGAUCCAGCCCUGCCGCGCGUGUGAAGAAGGUCUUCGGAUUGUAAAGCCCUUUUUGCUGGGAGGAAGGGUCGUAGAUUUAUACUCUGCAAUUUUGUCGUUACCGACAGACUAACCACCGGCUACCCUCGCGCCACGAGCCGCGGUAAUACGAAGGGUGCAAGCGUUAAUCGGAAUUACUGGGCGUAAAGCGCGCGUAGGUGGUUUGUUAAGUUGGAAGUGAAAGCCCCGGGCUCAACCUGGGAACUGCUGUCAAAACGGGCAAGCUAGAGUAUGGCAGAGGGUGGUGGAAUUUCCUGUGUAGCGGUGAAAUGCGUAGAUAUAAGAAGGAACACCAGUGGCGAAGGCGACCACCUGGGCUAAUACUGACGCUGAGGUGCGAAAGCGUGGGGAGCAAACAGG